This is a long non-coding RNA of Paramormyrops kingsleyae, 4762 nucleotides long. RefSeq lists it as uncharacterized. The record is from RefSeq and is a predicted model, not a curated record. Lineage: Eukaryota; Metazoa; Chordata; Actinopteri; Osteoglossiformes; Mormyridae.
AAAUGGCUGGCAGCCAGCAUCUAGCUGAGAAAGACACUCAAGUGACGUUCUUUCGUCUGCGUUGCCGCUCUCUUGGGCUGGAAAGUUUCACUGUGGGAGCUGGGAGGCACAGAGAACAAUAAUGUAGGCAGAUGGAGUGUGCUGGGUUUCUCCUGGCAGGGCGGGCAGAUGGGCAGCCAAUCAGGGGCACUUCCUGUUUUGCCAUGCUCGAAUGCCAUUGUUCCCAACCUUGCAAUCUCCUGCUUUCUCUCCCUCUACUUUGCCGCUGCCCGGGAGGAAUUUAUAAACAUUUUGCCAGCGGAUCAAUACCCAUAUUGAUCAACCAUUGUGGGAGCAAUCUGUCUCAAGCCUGCAGCUCAGAGAUGGGAGGAGCAAUGGAGGGAGGCUGCGGAGAAGAAGAAUUAAGGGAGAAGGAGAGAGAGAGGAAAAGGAGAGGAGCUCCUACCUCAGAGAGAGGGAAAAGAGGUGGAGAAAAAGAUGAGGAGAAAUAUAGAACCUGGGAUGGGAAGACGAUGAGUGCUGGAGCUGAAUGGAUUCCCACACAUGAGAUAACAAAUGCCCACUAUAGAGCUCACGUCCGUCACCAAGGUGGACAUCCAGAUGUGCUGUUUCUGCAGGUGAGUGGGGAAGAGCACUGUUUCCUUCUUUAAUCACUACCUUGUUCUGAUACUCUUGCGUACAGUCACACUUUGAACGGGGUUUGUCUGUAAUGCUUAAACACUCAAGACUGUAAAUUUGAAUGGUGGCGAGGCUCUAUUAUAAAAUCUUUGCUGAAUUCUCUCCAACACAUUGUGGCUCCUUAACAGAUCAGGAAAUGCCCUUUUUAGGAUCAUAAAAUUACAAAAAAAAAUGAUGCUGUGAAACUUUAAGAACAGUAUGGGCAGCACUGAGUGUCCUUUCCAUUGAUGAUGGCCGUCAGUACAGUAUUGUACCUGUGGAGAGUUACGACUGGACCGUGGGACUAAGUACAUACUGAUGCUGGUUUCUCUGGACCACAUCUCUGGACACAAAGCUUCUGCUGAAUGAAUUGUAGUAAUUCAAGUCAAUCAGGGUUGCAAGGCGGAGAGCCAUUUCCUGACUGAAUGAUAUAUGGGUUUGCUUGGGACCUAGAAGUUUGGAGUCCUGGUCCUGGAAUGCAAGAACUGUACCAAGGAGACUACUACAAAGCACAAACAGUAUUAUUACUGCUGUUCUGGACCGGGAUACAACUAAGCAUGAAUACUACUGAAGCUGAAUACUAACGGUCUUGGAUACCAUUAAUCCUGAGCUGGAUGGAUGCUACAAGAUUUUCUCAAUUUGAGUGGAAUAGUCUUGACAAUAUUGCACUGGUGUUGUUCUGGUGCAGGCCUAGAGUAUGGAGAGUACCUGAGGGACAAGGGAUAAGCUUGCCCAAGCAGGGUCUGUAGUGAAGAUUAAGGACAUCCAAGGUCUCGUAAUGGAUAUACAACUGUAGCUCACUCUACGGGAAUUUUGUUGGGCAAUAUCCUGGCACAAUGCUGUCAUCCUGUCAUUCAUCAUUUCUGUUUAAGUUGGGGAUUAUUUACAGAGGGGUUCCUGGAUUACUCCAAGUAUAUGAUCUACCAUGGAGAACUGUAGAACUUAACCAAGAAGAGAACAUUCUAUACACUGAACACUAGCACAUACCACUAGCUGCAACGAUCCCUCCCCCAAGUCAACCAUCCAUUUCUCACACACAAUACCUAUAUUUUCACAUUCUUAACUAUACAAGCAGCAGUAUGCAGGUAAAACAUAUAAUCAGAGCUGCAUAUCCAAACAUGAACUUCAACCACAACAAUUCAGCACACAACAAUAAAACACAACAUCAGGCAAAAGUAAGCACAUGACUAUAGUGGCAGACAGAUCGAGACAGGAGCAUCACGUAUCUCUCUAUGUGUUUUCAGUACUUUUACUGUAUUAGAGUUUGGUAAUAGAGGUUACUGAUGUGGAACAGAGAGGGAUAGUGGUGUAAAUGACAGCAAAACCUGUGAACAGAGUUUGGCCCCCAUAUCAUAUUGGGCCCCCAGUCCAGAUCAAUCCAGUUAUUCUCCAAAUUUUUUAGGGGCCCUGUCACUCAGGGGCCCUUGGAAUCGACCUAACUCCCCCCCCUCCGCACAGCUGCAGUGAUCAGAGUGCUGUUAAUAUGUCAGCUGUUUUGUUUUGCCAGAAGAAUCAGUGGAAAAACAAUGUCUGGUGUUCAACAGAAAAUACACACCAAACUUUUCUGUUGUUAGUUCAAAAAUCAUGUAGCAUACCAGCGGGCCACAGGAGAGCUCAGCGUUUUUGCUGCUCAAUCGUGUUGCUGGUGAAGAAGAAUUAAAUCUGAGAGGAGACAAAACACAAGAUAGCGGUGUCAAAUGUCUGUUCCUAGAAACAAACGGAAUCAGAACAGUAUGACGGGGGGCUCAAGCAGAACACAGGAGACUUCCAAGAUACAACCAACAACAUCAUCUGAACAAAUACUGCCCUUUUUCUAGGCAAAUACCCAACAAAGAGUCUGCCCAAGUAACCAUGCCAGAGUGUGAGAAACAACUAUAAUUCCAAGGCACAUGAAGUUUUAUAUGCGACAAUUACGGUAUAAAAAUUUUAAAUAAGCAACAUGGUGCCUAUCUGGUGCCAGCCUCAUCUGGUGGAGGGAUGGGGGGGGGCGCAGUCACACGUAAGACUUGUUGGUGCUCCGUGGAAGAGGGCCGAGCAGCAACAGCCAUGAUUUCUGGAAGACAUUCAGCAUCCCUUUUCCCCAGAGUCCCCCCCCACACACACACACCCCACCCUGCUGCCAUGCCCUGGGGUGCCUACCAAGAGUGAUUGUUUUUGCGGCCACGAAAUUAGCAGUGUUGCAAAUUUAUUUUGUCGUGCUCAACUGCGCUGUAAUUAGCUCCAGGCCCAAACGAGAGUCACACCCCACCCCUGCAUCUGAGUGACAGGCCAGCAAUGAUUCAGCAAGAGCAAGGGGAGUUGGGACUGGGGGGCCGGCUGGAAUGUAUUAUACACACAGUAUUGGCAGCACUCAGGUUCUGCAGGUCCAGCUGGCAGUAUUUUCACUUGUGCCUAGACACAGAAAAGGGCACAUGCCAUUGCUUAAAAACACACCUUAAUAUAAUUUAUAUGUUUGCCAAAUACUCAUGAUAUACUGUUCUGCCCCCCAAAAAAUGAAGAAUGACCAAGAACCCUCAGUUAUUCAUGUUCCUAUGGGAAGAAAAUGUUGCUAUAGGAAGAAAAUGGAGUGUCCUACAGCCAAAGCUUAAAUAAAGUAUUUUCAUAUUUCAGCGUGGCCGGAAUUCCUGACUCCACCCAGAAGGGCCCCUUCCAGGCAAAAGCAUUUCAGGCUUGUGAUACAGGACAAACAUCAAUAUUAGAAGUACAUCUACCAGAUCAUCAGUAUCUUCCGAAGGAAAGGGCACAACAGACAUCCUGAAAAAGACACCAUAAAUAAACAAGCUUUCAGAUAUGCAAGACCAUCCAUUUUCAAAAAACUGCUUUUCCAGUGCAGGGUCACAUUGCCGAAGACGUAACUGUGGCAGCUAAUUAAGACAAUGUGAUUUGCAGAAAAGGUUAUGUGUGUGUUUGAAUCAGAGGAAAAUGUCUCAAAAUCGAAGUGGUUACAUAGUCCAUGACAUCACUAUCAAUAACAACAAGAAUAAGAAAUGAUUAUUCUUUUAAUUAUAUAUUUGGAGAAAACAUGAAAGCUUUUUGUACAGCUCAUUUUUCACAUCCUCAUACCCAAACUUAAUUAGUUCAAGCAGCUAAAUUAUUAUGUGAUGGGGCCAGUUAUUCAUACCAGAAAGGGCAGCUUAAAGCGGUCUGUAGCAUUUACAGGAGUGAUCUAUGGGUCAUCUAGAUCCAAGGGAGAUAAUGUGUAAGAGUGUCUUUAUGUGAAACAUAGUUUGGGAUGACUUUGAUUGUAUGAAUGUGCUCUAUUUGUUAGCAUCUGAUGGCCUUUAUGAGUAGGAGCUCUCUGUUCUAUUGGAUUAUCCUAACUGCAUUUUCCCUGUGACAAAGUGUAUCUGAAUGGUUUUGUUUAUUUACGGAAGACAGGCGUGUCUGUGUCCUCCAUUCUCAAUCUACCGAACUGACCUUGGGCUGACAUUAUCCUGCGGGGAAUUCAAAACAUCACUUAGCGCAGGUUAUGUGAAGAUUACACUCACAACCAGAGGAAGAGAACAAAGCAUGAGAACACUGAACGAACAGCAGAGAAAGAGAACAUUAAACUUACAACAAAGGAGGAAAACAGAUGGAGAACAGAGGAGAUGAUUUAUCUUAGAACUGAGGAGGAGAGCAGAGAAGGAGAACAUUAACCUUACAAGAGAGGAAGAGUUCAGAGGAGGAGAACAUUACAUUUAUAAUAAAGAAGGAAAAAGAUGGAGAACAGAGGAGAAGAUUGAUCAUAGUGCAAGGGAGGAGGGUGGAGAAAGAACAUUAAACUCACAACAGAGGAAGAGAACAGAGGAUGAGAACAUGAAACUCAUUAAGCCUAUAACAAAGGAGGAAAACAGAUGGAAAACAGAAGGAGAAGCUUCAUUUAACAGCAAAGGGACACAGAACAGAUGAAGCUGCCUGCCUUCCAUUGUCUCUUGGUUCUUGUUUGCAUACAUGAUCCUGCAGGUCUAUGCUCACAUAUACUGUAGUCCUGCAUCUCUGCUGACUUGGUUGCACCUCACUAUCUGUAUCUGCACUAGCUAAUAUCUCCAGCUAUCUUUUAAAAAAAUGUUCUUCGCUUUUAUUCAGCUAUAACAAAAUGAACAACCUGAACCUUUGUGAAGCA